CAGCCGCCGCGGUAAUACGAAGGGGGCUAGCGUUGUUCGGAUUUACUGGGCGUAAAGGGCGCGUAGGCGGACUGAUAAGUCAGGGGUGAAAUCCCAAGGCUCAACCUUGGAACUGCCUUUGAUACAGUUUGUCUUGAGUUCGAGAGAGGUAAGUGGAACUGCGAGUGUAGAGGUGAAAUUCGUAGAUAUUCGCAAGAACACCAGUGGCGAAGGCGGCUUACUGGCUCGAAACUGACGCUGAGGCGCGAAAGCGUGGGGAGCAAACAGGAUUAGAUACCCCUGUAGUCCCUGUCUCUUAUAC
RNAcentral lists this ribosomal RNA (301 nucleotides) under uncultured bacterium. RNAcentral describes it as "partial 16S ribosomal RNA". It matches the Rfam family "Bacterial small subunit ribosomal RNA", at positions 509 to 807 of the family's 1533-position model. The record is from RNAcentral.